Carassius gibelio (silver crucian carp) is the source of this 344-nucleotide long non-coding RNA. RefSeq lists it as uncharacterized. The record is from RefSeq and is a predicted model, not a curated record. The transcript is spliced from 2 exons. Lineage: Eukaryota; Metazoa; Chordata; Actinopteri; Cypriniformes; Cyprinidae.
AUAUGAUUAAUUGUAUUUUGCUCUUCUUUCCCCUGCCGUCUGUGACAUUCUCAGAACAGACCUGUGAACAGAGCUGCUGGUUUAGUCCUUCCACCCAGUGAGUGCUGUUAGUACCAACGGAUGUUGUUGGACGAAGAAAAAUUACUCUGUGACAAGUUUAUCUGCUGGAGGAGGAGUGGAGUGGGGCACGUCUCUGCUCAUUCAGCAUCUGGCUCUGCGUCAAACCGAUGGCCGGCUUCACCGAAACAUAUCACUGACUUCACAAAACAGACCUGUAAUGACUACCAGAGAAGCGCUUCAGUGAGGCCUAACAGCUUCUCCAUAUAAAAUCAGCUCACGCACCA